AUUGAACGCUGGCGGCAGGCCUAACACAUGCAAGUCGAGCGGAUGAAGGGAGCUUGCUCUUGGAUUCAGCGGCGGACGGGUGAGUAAUGCCUAGGAAUCUGCCUGGUAGUGGGGGAUAACGUCCGGAAACGGGCGCUAAUACCGCAUACGUCCUGAGGGAGAACGUGGGGGAUCUUCGGACCUCACGCUAUCAGAUGAGCCUAGGCCGGAUUAGCUAGUUGGUGGGGUAAAGGCCUACCAAGGCGACGAUCCGUAACCGACCUGAGAGGAUGAUCAGCCACACUGGAACUGAGACACGGUCCAGACUCCUACGGGAGGCAGCAGUGGGGAAUCUUGCACAAUGGGCGAAAGCUUGACGCAGCAACGCCGCGUGAGUGAAGAAGGUCUUCGGAUCGUAAAACUCUUUUAGUGGGGAAGAAGGAAUGUGAAUGAAACUAUGCACGUUUUGACGGUACCUAAACAGAAAGCCACGGCUAACUACGUG
Molecule: ribosomal RNA, 484 nt
Filed under: uncultured bacterium
Lineage: Bacteria
Description: partial 16S ribosomal RNA
Rfam family: Bacterial small subunit ribosomal RNA
Source: RNAcentral